This is an RNA transcript of Scylla paramamosain (green mud crab), 2802 nucleotides long. It is a transcript of the gene named cytosolic endo-beta-N-acetylglucosaminidase-like, with no coding region annotated. NCBI's taxonomy places the organism in Eukaryota, Metazoa, Arthropoda, Malacostraca, Decapoda, Portunidae. The record is from RefSeq and is a predicted model, not a curated record. The transcript has 10 exons.
GAAGGGACAGACCACUAUUACAAAACAACAUCCCGGUCACUAUCAUUUUUUUAUUUUUUUUUACCCCUGAAGCGUGUAGAAGAGAAAGUGGCAAGCAGUGAGUCUAGAGAAGCUUCUUUAGUGACAAGAGACAAGGGGCAGAGGACGUCAGGUCAGGAAAUGACCUUUCAAAGUCCUGCGGCUAAAGAACACAAGUAGGAAAGAAAGAUUACAACUGUAUAAAAGAAGAGGACAUUAUUAGGAAAUAGGUACCUGUUUGAAAAUAAGUAUAUUGAGGAAACAGAGAACAGUGCAUCCGUUUUGGUUAAUAAGAGUGAAGGAAAGGAAAGAAAAAGACUGAAGACCCAGAAAGUGAUAGGGGACACGUAAGGUCAGAACUCAAGAAAGGUGCCCUCUCCUCUUUGCACCGUACACUGAGCUAAUGGCGCUGCCUCUCAAACGCUUCAAGGGAUCCAGUGAGGAGGUAAAGGCACUCUCAUCCUGGCUGGAGCUGAUGGUGUGGAGGAAGCCAGCGAUGGAUAUUGAUGGUGGUGUUGGUCAGGCGAAGAAGCUGAGGGCCCGACCAGCCUCCUCCCAUCCCAGGACUCUGGUGUGCCACGACAUGAAGGGUGGCUACCUGGAUGACAGGUUUGUGUCUGGCACCAAUAACAAGGAUGCCUACCGCUUCUACCACUGGUCUGGGGUGGACACGUUUGUUUACUUCAGUCACCACCUGGUCACCAUUCCUCCACUGGGGUGGAUCAAUGCCGCCCACCUGCAUGGAGUCACAGUCCUUGGGACUUUCAUCACCGAGUGGGAGGCAGGCAGUGCUGUGUGUAAGAAGCUCCUGGCCAGUGAGGAGACAGUGGCAUUGGCAGUGAGGCAGUUGGUGUGCAUUGCUAAUCACCAUGGCUUUGAGGGAUGGCUCAUCAAUAUUGAGAAUGAAGUGCCCAUAGAGAAGAUCCCACUCAUGCUGAAGUUUGUGGAGGAUCUGACAAAAGCCAUGAGGAAGAGAGAGACUGAUAAGGAAACAGAAAAUGCAGGGGAGGACAAAGUGAAAGAAGACAAUGACAAUUGCCAUCGUGUCAUCUGGUAUGACAGUGUGACAGAAAAUGGGGAAUUAAAAUGGCAGAACGCACUCAAUUCCCAGAACUAUGCCUUCUUUGACGCCUGUGACGGAAUCUUCCUCAACUACACCUGGACGGAGGAUCACCUGGACCACAGCAGGAAGGCAGCAGGUGGCAGGCAUAGGGAUGUCUUUGUGGGCCUUGACAUCUUUGGGAGGAACUUUUAUGCUGGGGGGAAAUAUGACACUUGGAAGGCUCUGGAGGUGGUGCGUAAGCAUGACCUCUCAGCUGCCAUCUUUGCUCCUGGGUGGACACAUGAGACACAGCCAGACUUCAUGGAGGCAGAGAGGCGUCUGUGGGGGUCUCUGGCACCCUUUCUUACCCACCGAGGAAUUCAGGACCUCCCAUUCACCACCUCCUUCUGUCAGGGAUCUGGGGAGUAUUUCUUCUGCAAGGGGAAGAUGGAGAGGGAAGGGCCUUGGCACAACCUGAGUCUCCAACACCUGCAGCCUCUCUGGUCCCAGGCUUAUGGUGUGUGACCUUGAGUGGACAAGACCACUGAGAGUAACUGUGGCCUACAAGUGGAGCAGCCAGCCCACCGCCCUCACCUUCCUGUGUCACCUCUCACCGAGCAGCUCGUCCCUCAAACAGAAGAUUUUAGAGUUCAUAUGUGAAAAGGAUAAAGAAGACAAGACGGAUGGAGAUGCAUGUGUAGGUGAAGAAGUUAUUGAGUGCCCCCUAGAGGUCAGCCAUGUGGAAAAUGGAUGGAACAUCAGAUUCACAGCCUGUGAGGUGCCAGGACACAGGAUGACUCUCAUGACACUCAGGCUGGGAGGUGCUGCUGAGCUACGGCUGGGACACUUGGACAUGAUGUUGGAGGCAGAGGCAGUGUAGCCUCCAGGGCUGUACUGUCUGCCAGCAAUCCACCCGUCUCAGUCUUUGCCAUGUGCUUUGUCUCCUGUGUUGGUGUGACUGGCAUUACUACUUGUGUGUUCUUUCCCUGCUUUUCCUGUGCCUGCUACGAUAUGAGGAUGGAAGCCGACAGUCCCUGGCAAGAGGAUGAAGGACUCCAUCACUGUUGCAGUGAAAGUGGUUGGAAGACAUGAGGGUGGCAUACUAGUGAUUGAUCUUGUAAGAAUAUUUGGCCUGUCAACCUUCCUUCUUUGUUACUUAUUGUUUCAUUAAUAUUUUAAUAUAUAAUGCAUCUAGCAGUGUCACUUGCAAGGAAUAAUUCCUCUUUUGUGCUGAAAAUUACUGGGAUUGCAAGUGUUAUGCACAUUACAAUUUACUUGAUUUUCCUUUAUUUUUUAUAAUUUUUUUUCUGAAUGUGAACUUUCAGAAAAUGAAUUGCCUGCUUGAACUAGUUGAAUUUGUACUCAGAGUUUCUACUGUAUGUUGUGUGAAAUAUGCCUAUGUUAUAUACACUGUGGCUAGGUUGGAGAAACACUGCCACUGCCACUGUACAUCCCUUCCGUGACUGGAAGGGACAGAAAGGACUGGGAACCCUCUUCUGUUUUGUUAUCCCCACAGUCAGACAAGGAGCUGUGAACACCUUGCCUCAUCUAGUCCCCUUGUUAGAGAUGUCAGGGAGAUAAACUAAUUGUUAUUGUUAUUGUUAGUAAAUUUGUUAUACAAUUAUAUUACAUGACUACUGGUUUCCUUCCAGGUACAGUUGCUCUCAGACUGUAAGAAAAAUGUACAAAAUAGUAAACUAUAAGUGUACUUUUAUUAAAGCACUUUCAAGCAAAUAGUUGUA